CACCAUGAUGGUAACUUUGCAACGUACUUGGCUUGUCUGAACUUCUGCCAUCAGACAAUCAGAGAUAUGAUCACUGAGUCUCCAUAGCAGUCUGUCAGGAUGAAAACAGGAGAUUGAGGCAGACGGCUUUCUGGAUUGAGCUCCGAUACAAAAAAAGAAAACAGGUUUUCUCUUUAAUUUCGUUCUGUAGGUCUGAAUGAGGGUGUUACUAGAAUCUCUGCAUUCUUGUUCAUUCUUCUUUCAGUGAUAAAAACUGAAGUCAAGAUAUGUUUUUAAGAAAGAGCGUCAUCAAGACAUCAUUCAGAUAAAGUUUUACUUGAAGUUCAGGAUCCAGAAUACAGUGUUUACCCAGAAGAGUCGACGAAAGGACGCUUUACUCUCAUACUCAUAUGCUGCUUCAUCUGUGUGUUUGCAGUGCUGAUAAACAAAGGUUGUCUGCAGGUCACAGUAGAGGCUGUUAUUGGCG
Labeo rohita (rohu) is the source of this 466-nucleotide long non-coding RNA. RefSeq lists it as uncharacterized. The record is from RefSeq and is a predicted model, not a curated record. The transcript has 4 exons. Lineage: Eukaryota; Metazoa; Chordata; Actinopteri; Cypriniformes; Cyprinidae.